Hippopotamus amphibius kiboko is the source of this 601-nucleotide long non-coding RNA. RefSeq lists it as uncharacterized. The transcript is spliced from 3 exons. The record is from RefSeq and is a predicted model, not a curated record. NCBI's taxonomy places the organism in Eukaryota, Metazoa, Chordata, Mammalia, Artiodactyla, Hippopotamidae.
CUUGCAGGCAGCAGAAAGCCAUCUCCAACUGGAUCCCUUCGCUGGGGAGACCCUGGGGGUAGCUCACAGAAUGAAGGCAACUGCUGCAGGAACCACGGCCUCAGGGACUGGAACUGGAGACUCAGGGCUUCUGAGGGGAUUCUCCUCUUCUGGUCCAUCUCUGCUUGUUUCUGCUUGACCUUGCCUGUUGGUCUCAUCAUCUCCUUUCAGACUGACCUUCGCCUCCUACGGCAGCCUCAGUGCCCCAAACAAUCCCAGGGGAUUUUCUGAUUGGGCCUGCUUAGAUACUGGAAGCCCAGCACAGCAACUUCAAUGAGGCCACAGUGCGGGAGAAGAGAAAGGGCUUCCUGCUGCCCCUUGAGGCCCAGGGGGAAAUGGAAACAAGAGGCCCUUGGGAGGGCACAAAGCCCCAGGAGCAGAAAUCCCUCCCUAGAUGGAGAAACAGAGACUGGAGAGGUGAAGAACCUUACCCAAGGCCACAGAGGGAGAAACCAGUACAGCUGGCAAAAAAUACAAAAGGGCUUACCGCCUCACUCUUUGUAAAAGCAAAAGACUGGAAACAGCCCAUCAUCAGGGAACUGAUGAAAUAAACUUCAGUGCA